AGAGUUUGAUCCUGGCUCAGAUUGAACGCUGGCGGCAUGCCUUACACAUGCAAGUCGAACGGCAGCACGAGAGCUUGCUCUUGGUGGCGAGUGGCGAACGGGUGAGUAAUAUAUCGGAACGUACCCUAGAGUGGGGGAUAACGUAGCGAAAGUUACGCUAAUACCGCAUACGAUCUACGGAUGAAAGUGGGGGAUCGCAAGACCUCAUGCUCAUGGAGCGGCCGAUAUCUGAUUAGCUAGUUGGUGGGGUAAAAGCUCACCAAGGCGACGAUCAGUAGCUGGUCUGAGAGGACGACCAGCCACACUGGAACUGAGACACGGUCCAGACUCCUACGGGAGGCAGCAGUGGGGAAUUUUGGACAAUGGGCGCAAGCCUGAUCCAGCAAUGCCGCGUGAGUGAAGAAGGCCUUCGGGUUGUAAAGCUCUUUUGUCAGGGAAGAAACGGUGGACUCUAAUACAGAUCACUAAUGGCGGUACCUGAAGAAUAAGCACCGGCUAACUACGUGCCAGCAGCCGCGGUAAUACGUAGGGUGCAAGCGUUAAUCGGAAUUACUGGGCGUAAAGCGUGCGCAGGCGGUUGUGCAAGACAGAUGUGAAAUCCCCGGGCUCAACCUGGGAAUUGCAUUUGUGACUGCACGGCUAGAGUGUGUCAGAGGGGGGUAGAAUUCCACGUGUAGCAGUGAAAUGCGUAGAGAUGUGGAGGAAUACCGAUGGCGAAGGCAGCCCCCUGGGAUAACACUGACGCUCAUGCACGAAAGCGUGGGGAGCAAACAGGAUUAGAUACCCUGGUAGUCCACGCCCUAAACGAUGUCUACUAGUUGUCGGGUCUUAAUUGACUUGGUAACGCAGCUAACGCGUGAAGUAGACCGCCUGGGGAGUACGGUCGCAAGAUUAAAACUCAAAGGAAUUGACGGGGACCCGCACAAGCGGUGGAUGAUGUGGAUUAAUUCGAUGCAACGCGAAAAACCUUACCUACCCUUGACAUGUCUGGAAUCCUUGAGAGAUCAGGGAGUGCUUGAAAGAGAAUCAGAACACAGGUGCUGCAUGGCUGUCGUCAGCUCGUGUCGUGAGAUGUUGGGUUAAGUCCCGCAACGAGCGCAACCCUUGUCAUUAGUUGCUACGAAAGGGCACUCUAAUGAGACUGCCGGUGACAAACCGGAGGAAGGUGGGGAUGACGUCAAGUCCUCAUGGCCCUUAUGGGUAGGGCUUCACACGUCAUACAAUGGUACAUACAGAGGGCCGCCAACCCGCGAGGGGGAGCUAAUCCCAGAAAGUGUAUCGUAGUCCGGAUUGUAGUCUGCAACUCGACUACAUGAAGUUGGAAUCGCUAGUAAUCGCGGAUCAGCAUGUCGCGGUUAAUACGUUCCCGGGUCUUGUACACACCGCCCGUCACACCAUGGGAGCGGGUUUCACCAGAAGUGGGUAGCCUAACCGCAAGGAGGGCGCUCACCACGGUGGGAUUCGUGACUGGGGUGAAGUCGUAACAAGGUA
RNAcentral lists this ribosomal RNA (1491 nucleotides) under metagenome. Its description in RNAcentral is "bacterial SSU rRNA". It matches the Rfam family "Bacterial small subunit ribosomal RNA". The record is from RNAcentral.